CACGAAACUAUGUGAGCUAAAUUUAUUUAAUUGUCAUGUAGUAUAAUGACGUAAAUGAAGAAAAUUUAGGGGUGAUAGGCUUUACAAACAUAGUGAUAUCUUGAUUUUCUCGAAAUGUAGUAGUACAAAUACGGAUUUAAAGCUAUAAGGUUUUGAAUAAUUACGAAUCUUGAUAAACUAAUGGUAAGAUGUAAAAAUCUAUACACAAGCAAUUUUAAUAUAUAUAUCAUAAGGUUGUUAAAGAUAGAGAAAUGUAUUACAAUUAAUAUUAUAUUAAUAAUGUUACUAUUAGUAUUAUAUAAGGUGCAAAUAGUGAACUCGGCUUUAAGUUUUCAACUGUUUAUCAAAAACAUAGCUGCGUGAUAAUACACGCAGUAUUUUCUGCUCAAUGAAUAUUAAAUAGCCGCAGUACCUUGACUGUGCAAAGGUAGCGUAAUCAUUUGUCUUUUGAUUGGAGUCAUGUAUGAACGAAUAUAUGGGGACUUUCUUUACCAUUUGUAAUAACAGAAUUUAAUUAAUGAGUGAAAAAGCUCAUACUUAAAUAAUAGACGAGAAGACCCUAGAAAUUUAUGUUGACGUUUUGUUGGGGCAACAUAGUAACAUGUAACUUACUAUAUAUAUAUGAAAUAGAUUAGAUAAGUUAAAUUACUCUAGGGAUAACAGCAUAAUAUUUAAAUGUUUGUGACCUCGAUGUUGGAUUAGGGAGUUAUAGUUUAGAA
This 719-nucleotide ribosomal RNA is filed under the name Setobaudinia insolita. RNAcentral's name for it is "partial 16S ribosomal RNA". The stretch from base 321 to 485 matches the Rfam family "Archaeal large subunit ribosomal RNA", at positions 1876 to 2091 of the family's 2987-position model. Lineage: Eukaryota; Metazoa; Mollusca; Gastropoda; Stylommatophora; Camaenidae. The record is from RNAcentral.